Pteropus alecto (black flying fox) is the source of this 119-nucleotide non-coding RNA. NCBI's taxonomy places the organism in Eukaryota, Metazoa, Chordata, Mammalia, Chiroptera, Pteropodidae. The record is from Rfam.
GUCUAUGGCCAUGCCACCCUGAACGUGCCCGAUCUCAUCUGAUCUCGGAAGCUAAGCAGGGUCGUGCCUGGUUAGUACUUGGAUAGGAGAGCACCUAGGAAUACCAGGUACUGUAGGCA